Molecule: ribosomal RNA, 1642 nt
Filed under: Escherichia coli
Lineage: Bacteria; Pseudomonadati; Pseudomonadota; Gammaproteobacteria; Enterobacterales; Enterobacteriaceae
Description: partial 23S ribosomal RNA
Rfam family: Bacterial large subunit ribosomal RNA
Source: RNAcentral
CGAGGGGAGUGAAAAAGAACCUGAAACCGUGUACGUACAAGCAGUGGGAGCACGCUUAGGCGUGUGACUGCGUACCUUUUGUAUAAUGGGUCAGCGACUUAUAUUCUGUAGCAAGGUUAACCGAAUAGGGGAGCCGAAGGGAAACCGAGUCUUAACUGGGCGUUAAGUUGCAGGGUAUAGACCCGAAACCCGGUGAUCUAGCCAUGGGCAGGUUGAAGGUUGGGUAACACUAACUGGAGGACCGAACCGACUAAUGUUGAAAAAUUAGCGGAUGACUUGUGGCUGGGGGUGAAAGGCCAAUCAAACCGGGAGAUAGCUGGUUCUCCCCGAAAGCUAUUUAGGUAGCGCCUCGUGAAUUCAUCUCCGGGGGUAGAGCACUGUUUCGGCAAGGGGGUCAUCCCGACUUACCAACCCGAUGCAAACUGCGAAUACCGGAGAAUGUUAUCACGGGAGACACACGGCGGGUGCUAACGUCCGUCGUGAAGAGGGAAACAACCCAGACCGCCAGCUAAGGUCCCAAAGUCAUGGUUAAGUGGGAAACGAUGUGGGAAGGCCCAGACAGCCAGGAUGUUGGCUUAGAAGCAGCCAUCAUUUAAAGAAAGCGUAAUAGCUCACUGGUCGAGUCGGCCUGCGCGGAAGAUGUAACGGGGCUAAACCAUGCACCGAAGCUGCGGCAGCGACGCUGAUGCGUUGUUGGGUAGGGGAGCGUUCUGUAAGCCUGCGAAGGUGUGCUGUGAGGCAUGCUGGAGGUAUCAGAAGUGCGAAUGCUGACAUAAGUAACGAUAAAGCGGGUGAAAAGCCCGCUCGCCGGAAGACCAAGGGUUCCUGUCCAACGUUAAUCGGGGCAGGGUGAGUCGACCCCUAAGGCGAGGCCGAAAGGCGUAGUCGAUGGGAAACAGGUUAAUAUUCCUGUACUUGGUGUUACUGCGAAGGGGGGACGGAGAAGGCUAUGUUGGCCGGGCGACGGUUGUCCCGGUUUAAGCGUGUAGGCUGGUUUUCCAGGCAAAUCCGGAAAAUCAAGGCUGAGGCGUGAUGACGAGGCACUGCGGUGCUGAAGCAACAAAUGCCCUGCUUCCAGGAAAAGCCUCUAAGCAUCAGGUAACAUCAAAUCGUACCCCAAACCGACACAGGUGGUCAGGUAGAGAAUACCAAGGCGCUUGAGAGAACUCGGGUGAAGGAACUAGGCAAAAUGGUGCCGUAACUUCGGGAGAAGGCACGCUGAUAUGUAGGUGAAGUCCCUCGCGGAUGGAGCUGAAAUCAGUCGAAGAUACCAGCUGGCUGCAACUGUUUAUUAAAAACACAGCACUGUGCAAACACGAAAGUGGACGUAUACGGUGUGACGCCUGCCCGGUGCCGGAAGGUUAAUUGAUGGGGUUAGCGCAAGCGAAGCUCUUGAUCGAAGCCCCGGUAAACGGCGGCCGUAACUAUAACGGUCCUAAGGUAGCGAAAUUCCUUGUCGGGUAAGUUCCGACCUGCACGAAUGGCGUAAUGAUGGCCAGGCUGUCUCCACCCGAGACUCAGUGAAAUUGAACUCGCUGUGAAGAUGCAGUGUACCCGCGGCAAGACGGAAAGACCCCGUGAACCUUUACUAUAGCUUGACACUGAACAUUGAGCCUUGAUGUGUAGGAUAGGUGGGAGGCUU